Molecule: non-coding RNA, 79 nt
Filed under: uncultured Cetobacterium sp.
Lineage: Bacteria; Fusobacteriati; Fusobacteriota; Fusobacteriia; Fusobacteriales; Fusobacteriaceae
Description: TPP riboswitch (THI element)
Rfam family: TPP riboswitch aptamer (THI element)
About the family: Vitamin B(1) in its active form thiamin pyrophosphate (TPP) is an essential coenzyme that is synthesised by coupling of pyrimidine and thiazole moieties in bacteria. The previously detected thiamin-regulatory element, thi box was extended, resulting in a new, highly conserved RNA secondary structure, the THI element, which is widely distributed in eubacteria and also occurs in some archaea. Analysis of operon structures identified a large number of new candidate thiamin-regulated genes, mostly transporters, in various prokaryotic organisms.
Source: RNAcentral
AACUACUAGGGGUGCCUUCGGGCUGAGAUUUUACCCUUAGAACCUGAUCUAGUUAAUACUAGCGUAGGGAAGUAGUCUU